GAUUGUGGUUCAGAGGUAGAGCACACGCCUUGCACAUCUGAGGCACUGGGUUCAAUCCUCAGCACAACA
This 69-nucleotide transfer RNA is filed under the name Marmota monax (woodchuck). RNAcentral describes it as "tRNA.Ala". The record is from RNAcentral. Lineage: Eukaryota; Metazoa; Chordata; Mammalia; Rodentia; Sciuridae.